This 429-nucleotide ribosomal RNA is filed under the name Bacteroidota bacterium. Its description in RNAcentral is "Bacteroidetes bacterium partial 16S ribosomal RNA". It matches the Rfam family "Bacterial small subunit ribosomal RNA", at positions 355 to 776 of the family's 1533-position model. The record is from RNAcentral. Lineage: Bacteria; Pseudomonadati; Bacteroidota.
UAGGGAAUCUUCGGCAAUGGGGGGAACCCUGACCGAGCAACGCCGCGUGAGUGAAGAAGGUUUUCGGAUCGUAAAGCUCUGUUGUUAAGGAAGAACGAGUGUGAGAAUGGAAAGUUCAUGCUGUGACGGUACUUAACCAGAAAGGGACGGCUAACUACGUGCCAGCAGCCGCGGUAAUACGUAGGUCCCGAGCGUUGUCCGGAUUUAUUGGGCGUAAAGCGAGCGCAGGCGGUUAGAAAAGUCUGAAGUGAAAGGCAGUGGCUCAACCAUUGUAGGCUUUGGAAACUGUUUAACUUGAGUGCAGAAGAGGAAAGUGGAAUUCCAUGUGUAGCGGUGAAAUGCGCAGAGAUAUGGAGGAACACCAGUGGCGAAGGCGACUUUCUGGUCUGUAACUGACGCUGAUGUGCGAAAGCGUGGGGAUCAAACAGG